RNAcentral lists this ribosomal RNA (506 nucleotides) under uncultured bacterium. Its description in RNAcentral is "partial 16S ribosomal RNA". It matches the Rfam family "Bacterial small subunit ribosomal RNA", at positions 29 to 523 of the family's 1533-position model. The record is from RNAcentral.
AGUGAACGCUGGCGGUAGGCCUAACACAUGCAAGUCGAACGGCAGCACAGGAGAGCUUGCUCUCUGGGUGGCGAGUGGCGGACGGGUGAGGAAUACAUCGGAAUCUACUUUUUCGUGGGGGAUAACGUAGGGAAACUUACGCUAAUACCGCAUACGACCUACGGGUGAAAGCAGGGGACCUUCGGGCCUUGCGCGAUUGAAUGAGCCGAUGUCGGAUUAGCUAGUUGGCGGGGUAAAGGCCCACCAAGGCGACGAUCCGUAGCUGGUCUGAGGGGAUGAUCAGCCACACUGGAACUGAGACACGGUCCAGACCCCUACGGGAGGCAGCAGUGGGGAAUAUUGGACAAUGGGCGCAAGCCUGAUCCAGCCAUACCGCGUGGGUGAAGAAGGCCUUCGGGUUGUAAAGCCCUUUUGUUGGGAAAGAAAUCCAGCCGGCUAAUACCUGGUUGGGAUGACGGUACCCAAAGAGUAAGCACCGGCUAACUUCGUGCCAGCCGCCGCGGUAA